AUGAUAAAAAAUAAAGAAUAUUGCCCCGUCCCCGCCUCGCUCCCGCGCGCAGAGUCCCCGUCUGCAUCCGGAGGGGGCACUGCGCUUCUAGGGACCCUCCGCUUUGGCAUGCACAGAAAUCGGCCAGAACGUGAAAAUGCGCAGGGCUUUUUCCCUUUCGAAAGGUUUUGGGCCCAAGCCCUCAGCUGUAGACCAGAGCUGCUCACAGGUGGCACUCAAGUGUGGACCUGCCACAUCGCUCCCCAAACCAGAGUCUCCUCCUUUGGGUUUUGGGGGGCCCCCGCUCCCCAGCCUCGUGGGGGAGCCCCUCCCUGGCAGUGGGGCCUCCCCCCAGGAAACGCCGAUGACCAGCCACCCUCCAGCUCGCCCUCGCCAGCCCUCCUGACCCACCGCUGGCAGGAGGCACCGCCAAUUCCAUUUGUUAAACAGUUUUUUUUUUUUUUAAGUGUAAAUGAUAAUAAUAAAAUUCCACGAGUCUUUCUUUUUUUUUCUCUUUUCUCUCCCCUCAGGAUAAAUUUUAUGCGGCUGGCAGUUAAAAUAAGCGAUUACCCCAUAAAUACCAUCUUAAUAGCCUCGUCAACGCUACGGCCUCCGCUGUCCUGAGAUUUUUAUCUCAGGAAAGGGGGAGGGAGGGAGAGAGAAAACCACAACCCUUUAGAGCGCUGCGGCGGCGGCUGCCGCCGCUCGUUACUCGCUGCGUAGCUGGGGGGGCGGAGGGCUCCCCCCUUCCCCCGGGGGCAGCCGCGGGGCCGCCCCCUCCCCCGGCGUGGCCGUUGGCGU
RNAcentral lists this long non-coding RNA (780 nucleotides) under Apteryx haastii (Great spotted kiwi). RNAcentral's name for it is "lncRNA (ENSAHAG00000000045.1)". The record is from RNAcentral. Lineage: Eukaryota; Metazoa; Chordata; Aves; Apterygiformes; Apterygidae.